Acinonyx jubatus (cheetah) is the source of this 3590-nucleotide long non-coding RNA. RefSeq lists it as uncharacterized. The record is from RefSeq and is a predicted model, not a curated record. NCBI's taxonomy places the organism in Eukaryota, Metazoa, Chordata, Mammalia, Carnivora, Felidae. The transcript is spliced from 6 exons.
GGGGAGAAUGCGCGCGCAGCUGGCGGAGCCCCGGAAGAGGGUAGCCGGGGCCUGGCUCCCUAGCCACGCCCCUUCCUCAGCCCUUCCCUCUGGACUUGUCGCGCCGCCGCCGAGGCCCGCCCCACUGACCGUGGCGCCUGAAGGGGCGGAGGAAAGCGCUUCCGCGCAAGCGCGUUCGCGUGCUCUUGCCUUCUAGAGAAGUUACUGCGCAGGUUCGCGUGGAAACUACGGAGAGACCAGUAGGUCUUGGAGGGCUAGGUUUGUCACUUUUCUGGACUUUUUACAAUUUUUAAUGCCACCGACUACUACUUACUGGACGCAUGUGGUACACCGGCCACAAUGCUAACCAUACAAUUACAGCGUUCACUCAACGUGAUUCCUUUGAUGGGAGCAGAGAAAUUGUUAGCACAUUUUCCACAAUUUGACCACCGCUUCCCACCCUCCAACUUGGUUUGCUAUUCUCCCCUUCCCAGAAAGUUUAGCGCACUUCGCAAGGCCGCGUUAUGACUUUCGUGGAACCGCGACACAUUGGCCUUGUGUUUGUGGAGGUGGGUAGAUAGUCCUAGAUUGGAGCGCAGCAAAGAGAUGUUCAUCAUCAGCAUGUGGUGUAAAUGACACAAGCUGGCGGUCAGCUGGAAGAUACAGCAAAUGUACAAGGGGCUACCCAUUCCUAGGGAGAGAGAAUUGGGAUCACUCCAGUAGGCUUCACGCCCAACGUGGAGCCCAAUGUGGGGCCCAACAUGGGGCCUGAACUCACAACCCUGAGAUCAAGACCCAAGCUAAGAUCAAGAGUCGGACACUCAACCAACUGAGCCAUCCAGAAUUCCUCGAAGUGGACUAGCUGGGUUCAAGGAUGUGUGCAUUUUACCCUCAAUAAAUGUGGCCAACAUGCCCUCCUCCAAAAAGCGGAAUCAAUUUACACUCCCAUUAGCAGCCAGCUUAGCAGAGUUUAUUUUCCCACAUCUUUGCCAACAGUGACACCAGCGAAUGUGGCCUUUCUCUGGGGUCUGCUGGGCCCAGGUGGCCUCAACAGUCUACCAAAUGUCCUUCCAGCAAUGGAGCUGCUUCUCCCCAUGUGGCCCGAGAACCUCCCGGACCCCACUCUGCUCCUGGGGAUUCGCCCUUGCCACCAGAGCACUGCCAGAUAUCGAGCUGUGGAGUUGCAGACUCUACACUCCCCCUGUUUACAGUCUUAAUGGAAUUUAAACCCUCUCCUUUCUCCUUUCUCCCUUUUAAGUUCAGUCCCUGCGGCUGUUUCCAAUUUUCCACUUUCUCUCCAGCUGCUUUUGGGGAGGGGUGCUUUUCCCGUGUUCUCCCCACCAUCUCUGUCCUCUCUCCACAUGCAAAAGCACCACCCUGCCCUCCGCGGCUUCUCUCUCCCCAAGAUCACCUCUCCACGCCAUGUACCUGCUGAGUUCUGUGGUUCAGGUUGUGCACGUUGUUGUAUUAAACCUCAGAUCAGUUUUCUAGGUGUGCAGGAUGGGUUAGUGUUGGUCUGGCUGUAUUUCGUGGACAUGAGACACACAGAAAACUUCCAUGCUGUUCCGCCAUCUUGGCUCCCUCCACAAAGGUGCAGGUAUGAAGGGGACUAUGGGGGUGUCUUUGAAAAUAACCACGCUAGGUUUGAAUCCUGGCUUUGCUGGCAUUUGCCAGUCCUUUGGCAAGAUAUGUAGCAUCCAAAUCCUCAUCUCCUCAUUUGUAAAAUGGGGGUGGUGAUACCCACAUCUCACAGUAUCUUUGAGGAAUCAAUAAGAUGAUGGAUGUGGACUGCCUGGCACAGAGCCUGGCAUUUAUUAGACAGUUAAAAAAAUGUGUGUUCCCUUUCCAUUCUCUUCUCUGAGAACCCACAGGGAUUUCCCAGACUCCUCAUUCAUUCAACAAUGUCUAUUUCAUACUACGCAUGCUGGGCACCGUGCAGGUGCUAGGGAGACCAGUGUGAAUGUGAGAGAGGCAGUUCUUGGUCUCUUGGAGUUUAUAGUGUAAUGAUGUUGGACACAGAACAGAUACUUUUGCAAAAAUGAAUUAUUUACAACUGAAGCAGAGCUAUGAGGAAAAGAAACCCAGAAUGCAUCAGGAGCCUUGAGAAAGCUGAGGAAAGGUCUCUGAGGAAGGGAUCUGAGGCACAGGGGAAGCAGCAUCAGUUAGAGUGAGGAGAGCCCUAAAACGCCCUCAGCAAGGUGGACCCAGGUUACCUGGAGAAACCAAAGGAAGGCCAAUGUGACUGGAGCUUGGGCAGGGCACUCCCAGCUGGAGAAUUUCGAUUCUCACAUUCCAGACAGAAGUUCAUCCCUGUAUUGGUCCGGACAUUCUAUGACCAGGAACUCAAUACAGAGGUAAGCUGGUCCAUCUGGGCGAUGGUUGGUGCCCCUAGGAACUCAGGUGCAACCUGUUGGCUACUGUACCAUUGCAUCCAGGAAGCAGACCACUAGCGCCAACUACUUGCUCUUAACCUGAAGCGAUCAGUCACUCCUUCACCGAGCCUCACUUGUCCUCUCUGGACAAAUGUUGUAGUCACCUGCUCUUCUGUCUUCCUCCAUCGUCUUAUAAGCUCCCCAUCAGAAAAGAAUGUGUCUUUUUCCUCCCUCUGUCCGCAGCUCCUAGCACAGACUUUGCACAUAUGAGGUGCUGCUGAGUGUAUGUUUGUUGAAUGGAUAAUAAGCGAUGCUUUGCAAAGAUUUGGUUGUUUGUUCUUAAGUAACUAUUACCCCCCAAUACUAGCUGUGUUUUAUUGAACAUCUACUGUGUGCCAGGCCCAUUAUUAAUGUUAUCUCAUCAAAUAGCUUUUUAGGGACUGUCACUAUUUUGUCUCCAUUUUCCCCUCAGCUUUAUAUUUUAAGAAAUUCAGAUAAACAGAGAAGUUGGGAGAACUCUACAGUAAACCCCCACUUCGUGUAGGUUCACCAAUUUUCCCAUAGCUGCUUUAUCCCUGUGUGCAUGUACACACACACACACACACACACACACACACACACACACACACUCACUUUUCCCCUGAACCAUUUAAAAGCUACUGAUGUGAAAACUCUUCACUCCUGAAAUCUUCAGCAUGUGUCUCCUACGAACAAAAACACUUCUUUCCACCAUUAUGAUGUCACUGUCACACUCAACAAAUACAAGAUUGAUAAUACCUAAAAAUAGUCCAUGUUUGAAUUUCUCCAGUCGGCCUGAUUACAUCCUUUAUAGCUUUUUAGUUUUCAUCUAGAAGUAUAGAAAGCAUUUAAUUGCGAUGUCUCUUUAGUCUCCAUUAACCUGGAACAAUUCUCCCCACUUCUGGCAGGGGGGCAGGUGGUCUUUCAUGUGUUUGCCAUUUCUGAAGAGUCUAGGACAGUUGUUUUAGAAAAUGUCCUGCAAUUGGGGCGCCUGGGUGGCGCAGUCGGUUAAGCGUCCGACUUUAGCCAGGUCACGAUCUCGCGGUCCGUGAGUUCGAGCCCCGCGUCAGGCUCUGGGCUGAUGGCUCGGAGCCUGGAGCCUGUUUCCGAUUCUGUGUCUCCCUCUCUCUCUGCCCCUCCCCCGUUCAUGCUCUGUCUCUCUCUGUCCCAAAAAUAAAUAAAAAACGUUGAAAAAAAAAAUUAAAAAAAAAAAAAAAAGAA